CUAUAUGGAAACAUUUUCUUUAACAACGUUGUUUUCUUGGUGUUUUCUUCACAGACAACAGUCARUGGAGGACCAUGUCCACCUGGACAUUACUGUGUGGUGGGGAGCAGCAGAGCCCAGCCUUGCCCUGCAGGGAGUUAUAGUCCAACUUGGAGUAUGGCACAAUGUUUGGAGUGCCCAGAAGGCUUUUACUGCAAGACUGCUUCCACAAAUUACACGGAUUGCCCUGCAGGACACUACUGCCCCAGGAGUACAGAAUUUGCCACACAGUACCCUUGUCCCCCUGGAACCUACAGUGAAGCUUUAAAUAUCUGGGAUGUCUCCAAGUGCCAGCUGUGUCCUCCUGGAAUGGUCUGUUCCAAGCCAGGCCUAGCGAGACCAGAUGGACUGUGCAUGCCUGGAUGGUUUUGUCCACCUGGAUCCACAUCAAGCAAACCAGUUUUUCCUGGAGGUCACUCUGGUGUGGCAACUGCAGCUUCUGGAUCAGUUGGGCUGUGCCAAGCAGGAACCUUUUGUCCUGCUGGUUCAUUUCUUCCUACUCCCUGCACUCCAGGUAGGAGAGGUGUAUUUUUCCACACGCACAUUCUGGGUUUUAUUUUUUACUCUUUUUUUUGGUACAUACUCUUUCCUCUUUUGUCAGGCUCAUUAAGCAAUCCCAGUCAUGUGCUAUGACUGUAUGAGGUCUGCUAUCUCUUAAAUGAGGGCCUUUUCUCUUGCCCCUGCUCCAGGUUUGUACUGUGCAACUGCAGAGCUGGCAGCUCCAUCAGGUCCCUGUGAGGCUGGCUUCUACUGCACGGGGAGCUCUGUGCUCCCCAAUCCCGUGGAUGGAGCAGUGGGGAACAUUUGUCCUCGAGGUCACUUCUGUCCUGCAGGGAGCUCUUCUCCAUCUUCUUGCCCUCCAGGURGGUUUGAUGGCAGCUGCUGGAUGCUGUUGUUU
This 937-nucleotide long non-coding RNA is filed under the name Dromaius novaehollandiae (emu). RNAcentral describes it as "lncRNA (ENSDNVG00000014656.1)". The record is from RNAcentral. Lineage: Eukaryota; Metazoa; Chordata; Aves; Casuariiformes; Dromaiidae.